UAAUACCCAAUGUGCUCGGUGAUUCGGUUCAUCGAGUAAAGCUCCGGCGCUUCGGGAGAGGCCUGCGUGCCAUCAGCUAGUUGGUAGGGUAACGGCCUACCAAGGCAGAGACGGGUAGGGGGCGUGAGAGCGCGGACCCCCACACUGGCACUGAGAUACGGGCCAGACUCCUACGGGAGGCAGCAGUAAGGGAUAUUGCGCAAUGGACGAAAGUCAGACGCAGCGACGCCGCGUGGGCGAUGAAGGCCUUCGGGUUGUAAAGCCCUUUUAUGGGGGAAGAGAAAAAGGACGGUACCCCAGGAAUAAGUCCCGGCUAACUACGUGCCAGCAGCCGGGGAAAAACGUAGGGGACAAGCGUAAUCCGGAUUCACUUGGGCGUAAAGAGCGUUGAGGCGGUUCCGUAAGUUGGGCGUGAAAGCUCCGGGCUUAAACUCGGAGAUGUCGUUCAAUACUGCGGGGCUUGAGGACAGCAGAGGAAGGUGGAAUCCCGGUGUAGUGGUGAAAUGCGUAGAUAUCGGGAGGAACACCCGUGGCGAAGGCGGCCUUCUGGGCUGUUCCUGACGCUGAAGGCGAAAGCUAGGGGGAGCGAAACGGGAUUUAGAUACCCCCGGUAGUCCUAGCCCGUAAACGAUGGAUACUAGGUAUUGGGGGGUUGUAAAUUCCCUUUGUGCCGAAGCGAACGCGGUAAGCAUUCCGCCUGGGGAAUACGUCCGCAAGGCUAAAAUUCCAACGAUUUGACGGGGGCCCGCACAAGCAACGGAGCGUCUGGUCUAAUUCGAUGCUACACGAAGAACCUUACCUGGGUUUGACAUGCACGUGGUAGGGAACCGAAAGGGGACCGACCUUCGGGAGCGUGCACAGGUGCUGCAUGGCUGUCGUCAGCUCGU
This 887-nucleotide ribosomal RNA is filed under the name uncultured organism. RNAcentral describes it as "bacterial SSU rRNA". It matches the Rfam family "Bacterial small subunit ribosomal RNA", at positions 164 to 1063 of the family's 1533-position model. The record is from RNAcentral.